RNAcentral lists this long non-coding RNA (1245 nucleotides) under Carica papaya (papaya). RNAcentral describes it as "long non-coding RNA (CPAP_LNC002732)". The record is from RNAcentral. Lineage: Eukaryota; Viridiplantae; Streptophyta; Magnoliopsida; Brassicales; Caricaceae.
AACACUGUUUGCUCAUGCUUCUUGUACCUUUCAAUGUCAAAGUCCUCACAUAUUCUGCAAUACUUUGUUGUGGAAGCCUUGCAGCUAGCUACUUAGGUUCCAAGAUCCCCCGGGAGUUCUCUCUAAACAUGAUAGGUAUCUAUCUCUUCUCUCUCUCUCUCUCUCUCUCUCUCUUGCACCUUAAUUAGUUAGAUAUGCAUAUAUGUAUGAGCAAUAUUAUAAUAUAGAUGUAUGUACUCUCUUACCAUCGAAAUAUAUAUAUAUAUAUAUAUAUGGAUGUGCUCCCCUCUUAAUUGUUCUGAGAACUAUUGGUAGUAUGUAGUAUUUUUCUUAUUUUUGUUGAUUGGUUACUUGAGAAGAGAAAUAAAGCUGACGAAGUUUUCAUCUUCCUGAAUUCUAUUCCACAUCCUUAAAAUUUAGAAAAAAACUGAAGGAAGAAUACUCCUUUUUUCUUUUUGGGAGGGAGCAGAAGAGAUUAUAGCGUAGGCAUGCCACCGAAGGGGUUGUUGGGUUUAUUUCUCUUAAUGUUUUAAGUUAUUCCCUCCCAUCUGAAAUUGUCUGGGCAUAAGAAUUCAAUUCUGACUUCAACCAAACAGACAAUCUCUAAGUAUAUUUAUCAUUCUCUCCAAAAUAAAUAAUGCACUGAAGACAAAAACAAGAGUAAAGUUUAAUUGCUCUCAAAACAUCUUGUGGGUACAUAAAAGAGUCAAGUUUUACUUGCAUGCAUGUUUUUAUUAGAAGAAUAACUUAGCUUUAGAUGUAAUUAUAUACUAUGAUUAUGUGUAAUAUAUUAUGAUGAUUAUGACUAACUAAUUAUUAGGGUGGGUUAGUGCAUGCAAGAAAGUCCUUCAAGCACAUUUCUAGCUUUUAUAUAUAUAUAUAUAUAUGCUGGAAGAGAAGAAAGCAGACAGACGAUCAGGCGUUUUGGACACAAACCAUGGAAAUUCCAAAACAAAAACAAGAAAGGAACAAAAGACAAAACCUACCAACUUCACACAUUUUGGGUUUCGAAACGGUGCGCGUAUAGAUUCUUUCUGUCUGUGUGUUUUGUGUUUCAAAAGGGGGAGGGAGAGAGGGUUAAUUUUAGUAUAUCAAUAUUUAUUUGAAGAUAUCUUUAACUACUAAAAAAAAAAAAUAAAUGAAUAAACCUAAUAAAAUCAUUAAUUUGCUUAAUGUGGGCUAUAAUAAGAGAUGAAAGUUAUUGCAAUUAUUAUUAUUAUAUAUAUACAUAUAUCUUUAAUUUCA